Molecule: non-coding RNA, 28 nt
Filed under: Bombyx mori (domestic silkworm)
Lineage: Eukaryota; Metazoa; Arthropoda; Insecta; Lepidoptera; Bombycidae
Source: RNAcentral
UACAAAUUGAUUACAAAUUGCCGUGGCC